CCUACGGGUUGCAGCAGUGGGGAAUAUUGCACAAUGGGCGCAAGCCUGAUGCAGCCAUGCCGCGUGUGUGAAGAAGGCCUUCGGGUUGUAAAGUACUUUCAGCGAGGAGGAAGGCAUUAAGGUUAAUAACCUUGGUGAUUGACGUUACCCGCAGAAGAAGCACCGGCUAACUCCGUGCCAGCAGCCGCGGUAAUACGGAGGGUGCAAGCGUUAAUCGGAAUUACUGGGCGUAAAGCGCACGCAGGCGGUUUGUUAAGUCAGAUGUGAAAUCCCCGGGCUCAACCUGGGAACUGCAUCUGAUACUGGCAAGCUUGAGUCUCGUAGAGGGGGGUAGAAUUCCAGGUGUAGCGGUGAAAUGCGUAGAGAUCUGGAGGAAUACCGGUGGCGAAGGCGGCCCCCUGGACGAAGACUGACGCUCAGGUGCGAAAGCGUGGGGAGCAAACAGGAUUAGAUACCCCGGUAGUC
Molecule: ribosomal RNA, 465 nt
Filed under: uncultured bacterium
Lineage: Bacteria
Description: bacterial SSU rRNA
Rfam family: Bacterial small subunit ribosomal RNA
Source: RNAcentral